Molecule: ribosomal RNA, 441 nt
Filed under: Triticum aestivum (bread wheat)
Lineage: Eukaryota; Viridiplantae; Streptophyta; Magnoliopsida; Poales; Poaceae
Description: partial small subunit ribosomal RNA
Source: RNAcentral
AUGGUGAAAUUUAAUGUUGAUGGAGCGGUGGCGAGACGCAGCCGUGGCGGUGCUGUCGCCGCGGUCUGCAGAGAUCAUUCAGGCCUAUAUUUGGGGUCCUCGGUGGUGGUUUACCAUGGUGUUUUUGAUCCAACUAUUUUGGAAACCUUUGCUUGCAGGGAGGCUUUGGCACUUGCCAGCGAUCUUCAGGUAUCACAUAUGAUAAUAGCUUCAGAUUGCCAAGGAGUGGUGAACGAUAUAAACCAAGGGACAGGAGGACCGCACUCAGCUAUCAUUUGGGAGAUUUUAGACCGUAAAAACAAUUUUAUUUCUGCUUCUUUAUUCAUGAGCGUAGAAACUUUAAUUUUGAGGCUCAUAAGCUCGCCAAAUUUGCUUGUAAUCUUCAGCCAGGAAGACAUGUAUGGUUGGUCACUCCCCAUGACCAUCGCAUUGUACCCAUGA